RNAcentral lists this long non-coding RNA (1064 nucleotides) under Trifolium pratense (red clover). RNAcentral's name for it is "long non-coding RNA (TPRA_LNC007566)". Lineage: Eukaryota; Viridiplantae; Streptophyta; Magnoliopsida; Fabales; Fabaceae. The record is from RNAcentral.
ACUUUUCAGAUUUGAUUUAUAUAAUUGUAUAUGUUUUGAUUUAUUUAUUUAUUUAUUAUAUUCCUGAUUAUGUGAGAAAAAGCGAUUUGAUGAAAUAGAUGUUGGACAGUAGAGGAGUAGCUGAGUAUCUUCCGGAUGAGGAAUUUGGAAAACCUUCUAGCCUUCCUACCCUGNNNNNNNNNNNNNNNNNNNNNNNNNNNNNNNNNNNNNNNNNNNNGUAUUUUUCAUAUUCUUUUGUAAUUUUAAUCAAUUUUCAGUUUUUAUUACUGAAUACUUCUAAAUGUAUGGUGCUUCAAUUUAUUGUUCAUUAUUAAAGGUUAAGUGCAUCUAGGCAUUGGCAUUGUUUCUUAUCUCUGUUUGUUUACCUUUUUAUUUUAAGUCUUUUAAGUAUUUUAUUUGGUUAUCCCAAUCUUAGUUUCCCUUAUAGAACCAAGUUCACAUUAGGCCUUGAGAUUAUCCCAUGAUUUUAUUUGGUAAUCACUUAUAUUUUAUUAUUUGUUAUGUAUCAAGUUCUUAAGAUAUUGAGCAAGCCUUAUUUAGAAGUGCAGGUUAUGGAGGAAUUAUGUUUGUGAGAAUAUAUAUAAUAGAGGAAAAAGAACCUUAAGUGCACUUAGGAUUGGUUUUUUCUUCAUCGGGAUUGCUUCAAAUGACAUAUCCAUGUCCAUAAGCUUAAGUAGGCAAAAGUCAUUGGGUUUAAGAGCUCAAUAUAUAAAUAAGAAGCAACUGAGAUUAGGCACUGCUCUCACAUUUAUUCGCAAGCAAGAUCAUCACACUCUAAUUGGAAGCUAAAAAUGAAACUAUUUGGGUAGCUUUAUCAUUCUGUAAUAUUUUGAUAGUCAUGAUUUUUAUUAAUAUUUGGUAUGUUCUAAGAUCUUGCUGUUUAGUUGAGGACUACAAAAUAAGCUUGUGGUCUAGGCUACUAUUGUAGAUUUGUAGUAAUUUUAGUUCAAAUUUAAGGAAGAGAAGAGGCAUUAUGCUAAAAAUUUAAGCAAUUUGUCGGUAUGUAUGUAGUAUUUGUAGAUCUCUGUAAAACAAUAACAUUAGUAUAUAUAGAUCUAUGUAUG